This 491-nucleotide ribosomal RNA is filed under the name uncultured eukaryote. RNAcentral describes it as "SSU rRNA". It matches the Rfam family "Eukaryotic small subunit ribosomal RNA", at positions 57 to 549 of the family's 1831-position model. The record is from RNAcentral.
GCUCUAGUAUAAGCAAUUUAUACAGUGAAACUGCGAAUGGCUCAUUAAAUCAGUUAUCGUUUAUUUGAUAGUUCCUUUACUACAUGGUAUAACUGUGGUAAUUCUAGAGCUAAUACAUGCUUAAAAUCUCGACCCUUUGGAAGAGAUGUAUUUAUUAGAUAAAAAAUCAAUGUCUUCGGACUCUUUGAUGAUUCAUAAUAACUUUUCGAAUCGCAUGGCCUUGUGCUGGCGAUGGUUCAUUCAAAUUUCUGCCCUAUCAACUUUCGAUGGUAGGAUAGUGGCCUACCAUGGUUUCAACGGGUAACGGGGAAUAAGGGUUCGAUUCCGGAGAGGGAGCCUGAGAAACGGCUACCACAUCCAAGGAAGGCAGCAGGCGCGCAAAUUACCCAAUCCUAAUUCAGGGAGGUAGUGACAAUAAAUAACGAUACAGGGCCCAUUCGGGUCUUGUAAUUGGAAUGAGUACAAUGUAAAUACCUUAACGAGGAACAAUU